This 370-nucleotide long non-coding RNA is filed under the name Ananas comosus (pineapple). Its description in RNAcentral is "long non-coding RNA (ACOM_LNC012663)". Lineage: Eukaryota; Viridiplantae; Streptophyta; Magnoliopsida; Poales; Bromeliaceae. The record is from RNAcentral.
AAUCCUCCUCCCUUUUUUUUUUAUAUUUGGGUAUUGAUUGGGAGAUAUCUCGCCUUGUUAUGGGAUAUUCCUCCAACAAAACGUAGCCUUAAAGUUGACUGGUCCCACUAAGAUAAUAAUAUUAAUCCGAAGAUUAAAAACGAUCAAGAAGGUUGAUCCAAGAACCAAAAAAUUGGUAUCACGAACUUGAUCCCUUAUAUUUCUGAAAGUAUAGUAACUCUACUUUUAUUUUAUAGUGCGGCUACUUUUUUAGCUCGUGCAGUCAAUUAACUAAUACCAUAAAAAAAAACUGUAAAUUUUUUAAAAUUUCAAAUUAUUAAAAAAAUAUCACUUCAAUAUUUUCGGCAUGUAUAUAUAUAUAGUCCCACAC